RNAcentral lists this ribosomal RNA (253 nucleotides) under uncultured bacterium. RNAcentral describes it as "partial 16S ribosomal RNA". It matches the Rfam family "Bacterial small subunit ribosomal RNA", at positions 524 to 776 of the family's 1533-position model. The record is from RNAcentral.
UACGUAGGCAGCGAGCGUUGUUCGGAAUUACUGGGCGUAAAGAGUGUGUAGGCGGUGCUCUAAGUUCGGUGUGAAAUCUCCUGGCUCAACUGGGAGGGUGCGCCGGAAACUGGAGUGCUUGAGCGUGGGAGAGGAAAGCGGAAUUCCUGGUGUAGCGGUGAAAUGCGUAGAUAUCGGGAGGAACACCAGAGGCGAAGGCGGCGAACUGGACAGUAACUGACACUCAACUGCGAAAGCGUGGGGAGCAAACAGG